Spinacia oleracea (spinach) is the source of this 1450-nucleotide long non-coding RNA. RefSeq lists it as uncharacterized. The transcript is spliced from 7 exons. The record is from RefSeq and is a predicted model, not a curated record. NCBI's taxonomy places the organism in Eukaryota, Viridiplantae, Streptophyta, Magnoliopsida, Caryophyllales, Amaranthaceae.
UCUCUCCUGGCUUAUGGUGCUCCAUUUUCUCUCUCCUCACGAGUUCCCUCCCAGAAGCUCCUUUGUGAUUUCUCCUCACCACCACCGUCUUUCUCACUUGUUGCAACCACCGCGCCGCCACCAUCUCCACGCUUCCAUCUCUACGCCUUCUCUUAUUGUUGUCUCCCGCCUGCUGCGAGCUUGCGACCACCGCGCCGCCACCUUUUACAUGCUGCCACCAUCUACGCGUCGCCUCCUUGUUGCAAUUGGCAUGAGGGGCAUGUAAUUGGUAACUCUGUAACCCCUCGCAGCACCCAUUUGGAAUUUGACAUUUCUGGCACAGGACUUAAGGGAUCAUAUUGGUGACUACUGUGAAAAUCUUGUUGAGACUGUGGAGGAAGCUGAAAUGUUACUGCCUUACUGGGCUGGAAACCUGAUACUUACUUCUCUAUCCAUACUGAUAAUGAAGAUGGUACUCCUGUUGCUGGAACCUCACUACCACCGCCAUUCCCACCUUGUACUAUAAGGCAACUCUCACUCGUUAUGCAGAUCUAUUGAGCUCCCCUAAAAAGUCUGUUUUGCUAGCAUUAGCGGCUCAAAAAUGAAGCCGAACGGCUGAGAUAGCUUGCAUCCCCCGCUGGAAAGGACGAAUAUUCCUAGUGGGUAGUUGCGAGUCAGAGGAGCCUCCUUGAGGUUAUGGCUGAGUUCCCUUCAGCAAAACCAUCAGUCGGAGUUUUCUUUGCAGUAGUUGCACCACAUUUGCAGCCAAGAUUCUACUCCAUCUCAUCCUCCCCAAGGGUGGGGAUGGUUUGCUGAAUCUAGCUCGUAAAGUCGUAAUGUAGUCAUAAGGUUUCAGUCCUCAUGUGAGGUCAUGAGUUUAAACCCUUGUAUCUUUAUAUCAAGGCAUAAUUUGUUGUUGAAGUUCAAGCAUUAGACUGACUAAUGCUCCAUUACAGGGAUGUGUCCAUAGUAUUUCCAAGUUUUGUUGAAAAUAAGAUAAUGUUGCUCUGAAGAAAUUUAAUCUGCCUUCGGAAAGAUGUUUCCAAGGGAGUCAGUGAGUCCAAAAUGUGUUUACCUGUGGACAAUUUGGUGUGUUUAGCCGUUUUUAGUAGUCUAACUGCAAUGAUAAACCGCGCUGAAGCUUGGAAGAUCACCAGCAAAUGAAGCAUCAUGUGGAGAUUGAUUCCCAGAACAGCUUUUUCAGAAUUUUGCGAGGCUCCUAUAUAUUUCAUCGACCUAAUUACUGUAUGAAUAUCAACUACAAAUUACAAUUCAGAUAUUGUAUGUUCAGAUGAUUCGUAAUUUCAGUAUUAACCACUUUACUCGGCUGUUUGUCAUCGGUUAUCGGUUGGGUGGAUUAUUUGUCCUAAAAGGGUGCAUCCCUUGUUGAAAUGUUACAACUAUGAACCUAUAGCAUACCUUUCAAAAUUAUUUUAUUCAUUUUUAUUAGAAAUGAAGAUUAAAGCAUGAU